CUGGAGAUUUAGCUGGUUUCGAAAACGAGAGCCGAGAGCAAAGCCAACUCCCUCCCGGAUUCCUGUCACACUCGCACUGGGUCAAACUGCAAAUGUCAAGACUUUUGUCCAGCAGGAAACCGAGCAACUAAUAAGCUGGGUCCAACUUCACGAGCUGACUAAAACAAUGGUGCUGCUCUACAUUCCCAUCCGGCUCGGCAAAUCUUCUGGGUUAAUAUCCAGCGUGACGGAGACACCAUACACGUUUUCUGUAGAAUUAGCGAAUCCGGGAAAAUGAAGAUUGGACUGAUUUUAGGACACCAGCGUGGA
Puntigrus tetrazona (Sumatra barb) is the source of this 309-nucleotide long non-coding RNA. RefSeq lists it as uncharacterized. The transcript has 2 exons. NCBI's taxonomy places the organism in Eukaryota, Metazoa, Chordata, Actinopteri, Cypriniformes, Cyprinidae. The record is from RefSeq and is a predicted model, not a curated record.